CGGGGGGGGGCAAGCGUUGUUCGGAAUUACUGGGGCGUAAAGGGGCGCGCAGGCGGCCUGGCCAGUCCUACGUGAAAUCCCACAGCUCAACUGUGGAACUGCGUGGGAUACUGCCAGGCUUGAGUCCCGGGAGAGGAGAGUGGAAUUCCCAGUGUAGCGGUGAAAUGCGUAGAUAUUGGGAGGAACACCGGUGGCGAAGGCGGCUCUCUGGACCGGCACUGACGCUGAGGCGCGAAAGCUAGGGGAGCAAACGGGAUUAGAUACCCCGGUAGUCCUAGCCCUAAACGAUGAGCACUUUGUGUGGCGGGUAUCGACCCCUGCCGUGCAGAAGCUAACGCAUUAAGUGCUCCGCCUGGGGAGUACGGUCGCAAAGGCUG
Molecule: ribosomal RNA, 377 nt
Filed under: uncultured organism
Description: partial 16S ribosomal RNA
Rfam family: Bacterial small subunit ribosomal RNA
Source: RNAcentral